UACGAAGGGGGCUAGCGUUGCUCGGAAUUACUGGGCGUAAAGCGUGCGCAGGCGGUUAUGCAAGACAGAUGUGAAAUCCCCGGGCUCAACCUGGGAACUGCAUUUGUGACUGUAUAGCUAGAGUACGGUAGAGGGGGAUGGAAUUCCGCGUGUAGCAGUGAAAUGCGUAGAUAUGCGGAGGAACACCGAUGGCGAAGGCAAUCCCCUGGACCUGUACUGACGCUCAUGCACGAAAGCGUGGGGAGCAAACAGG
This 253-nucleotide ribosomal RNA is filed under the name uncultured bacterium. RNAcentral's name for it is "partial 16S ribosomal RNA". It matches the Rfam family "Bacterial small subunit ribosomal RNA", at positions 524 to 776 of the family's 1533-position model. The record is from RNAcentral.